RNAcentral lists this ribosomal RNA (448 nucleotides) under uncultured bacterium. RNAcentral's name for it is "bacterial SSU rRNA". It matches the Rfam family "Bacterial small subunit ribosomal RNA", at positions 28 to 489 of the family's 1533-position model. The record is from RNAcentral.
GACGAACGCUGGCGGCGUGCUUAACACAUGCAAGUCGAGCGGUAAGGCCCUUUCGGGGGUACACGAGCGGCGAACGGGUGAGUAACACGUGGGUGACCUGCCCUCAGCUCUGGGAUAAGCCUGGGAAACCGGGUCUAAUACUGGAUAUGACUCCAUGACGCAUGUUGUGGGGUGGAAAGCCUUGUGCGGCUGAGGAUGGGCCCGCGGCCUAUCAGCUUGUUGGUGGGGUGAGGCCUACCAAGGCGACGACGGGUAGCCGGCCUGAGAGGGCGACCGGCCACACUGGGACUGAGACACGGCCCAGACUCCUACGGGAGGCAGCAGUGGGGAAUCUUGCGCAAUGGGCGAAAGCCUGACGCAGCGACGCCGCGUGAGGGAUGACGGCCUGGUUCGUAACGUCUUCUACGUCUCCGACGAACGACGAGAGUGACGGUAGGAGCGAGAAGAA